UGGCUGCAUCACUUUUGGAAGGUGUGGGACUGACUCUGCUCCUCACUCUGGUUGAAGUGUAACCGUGAAGCGUGCGUUCAAAAACAUUUAUCCAGUAAAUUUGGUACUGAUUUUGUUUUGGCUAAAGCAUGUGUCUAUGUCGCUACGUUUCUACGGAUUAAUGCAUACGCAAAAUAUUGAUACAUUCAACACAACAUGAAAAUGGAUUUUAUCUUCGUUUCAAUACUUUUUAUAUUUAUCGACGCGAUUUACGCAGUGUCCCGCUAUGGAAAUCUCCAACCAUACAUGCCCAAUGUGUGUGCAGAGCAGGAAGUGAUGUUGGUUGCCCAAAGGCAGCCGUGUGUGCAGGCCUUCACACGCAUGGUCAAGGUCUGGAAUCAAGGCUGCCUAGGACAGAACUGGUGCAUGGGAUACGAGAGAAGGACAGCGUAUUACACAGCAUACAGACAAGUCUACAGACAAGACUACCAGACCGUUUACAAGUGCUGUCCUGGAUGGUCUCAACUCAAUAGAGAGGCUGGCUGCU
Long non-coding RNA from Coregonus clupeaformis (lake whitefish), 526 nucleotides. RefSeq lists it as uncharacterized. Lineage: Eukaryota; Metazoa; Chordata; Actinopteri; Salmoniformes; Salmonidae. The record is from RefSeq and is a predicted model, not a curated record. The transcript is spliced from 3 exons.